GAACUAAGGUUAGACUCAUGUCAAUAGAUCUUUAGUGGAACAACUGAAGGUUUGAACGUUUUGCGAAAAUGACUAAUAGGCCUACUUUGGGCAACCAUAAAUCCUUGAUUAGUUGGAUUUGGAAAAGUACCCUUAAUGAAAGUUGUAGUAUGUAGAAAUAUCUUUCUAACGAUAUAAGGAUUAAGCCAAUCAGAGAUCGGAGCAAGGAGAUAUGAUCGUCUCAAUAUGGCUAAUAGUAAGGCACUUAAAAUGCGAUAGAAUCGGCUAAAUUUUCGAUAUGUUUGCCUUAUGGUCAAAUUUCGUGAAAAUCCGUUGCGAAUUUAAGAAAACUUAAGACAUGAAAGUUGUAGCUCCUUGAAAUAGCUUUCCAACGGUAUAUUGUGAGCCCAAACAGAGCUCUGUACAAGAAGUUAGGACCAUUUUACUGAACACUGCAUAGAACCGACACACGGGGCGCGUGAGGGCGCGUGCGAUGGAUCCGCAUCGCGGGCCGAUUGCAUAACUCUGAGUAUCGACUUGCAGAAUGUCGUGCGAUGCACGUGUAUCGCGGACCCAUCGCGUAACAGGUCGGGUUUCGGGUUAAAAGUCGGGAUUUCGCGUUUUAAGUUAUAUUUAAGCUUGGGGUUUAUUUCCCUAACACCCCUAGUCACGAAAAAUCACCCUAAAGUCAGAGGGAACAAGUUCCAAGCCUCAAGAACCCUCCAAGGUAAGUUUUAUCAUGAUUCUAGAUUAAAUUUAAGUCCCUAAUCUCUUUCUAACUUGAGUAAACCCUUCUAAUCAAUAGAGUAGUGAGUGGAACAUUAUUGUCGGGCGUGGAAACCCUAGACCUCGUAUUCAAGAGGAUUGAACGUCAAAAAGGUAAUGCUUCUACACUCUAAUCAUUCAUAAUAGUGAAUUGAUGAGUUCUUGGGAGAAUAGUAAAUGGGUUUAGUAAAGAGAAUUACAUGAACUAUAGUAGGGUUUUGGAUUGUUGACUUGUGAUUAUUAUAAUGAUAUGGGUGAUAGAGAAUGAUGUUAAUUGCACCUAAUUGAGAUUGUAGAAUCACCUAGAAGUAAUAGAAUGGGAAUUGGGUGAAGAAACACCAUUAAUGGAGAUUGUGGAGCUUUAUGCCCACUAAGUGUUUGAUAAAAUGCUUAGAUGACCAAAGCAUGAAUAUUAUUGCUAAUAUAGAAUCCCUUUGACUUGUAUUGAUAUAUAUCAAAGUUGAAAGGGUUGACGAACAUUGUAUUACGCUCAAAGGCGGAGAAUUAAGGCAACGAUAUACAGGUUGACGACUCAGCUCUUUAGGAGUGCACGUAUUAGCUACUGGUGAGCCCCAAAUUCCUUCGGGGCGUUGUCAGCUCUCUAGUUAUUUCAGUUUAUAGACAGCUCUAUUAUUCAGUAUUCUUAGAGGCUUCAUAGACACAGUUCAGACAGUCAGAUAUUUAUUAUGUUAGCCUUGUUGGCAAUUGUUCAGUUGUUUUGGUUUAGCCAUGUUGGCUACUUUCAGAUAUGUUCAGAUUGUCUAAGUAUUUCGGCAUUAUGAUAUUUCAGUCAGACCUUUAAUUAA
Lycium ferocissimum is the source of this 1550-nucleotide long non-coding RNA. RefSeq lists it as uncharacterized. The record is from RefSeq and is a predicted model, not a curated record. The transcript is spliced from 2 exons. NCBI's taxonomy places the organism in Eukaryota, Viridiplantae, Streptophyta, Magnoliopsida, Solanales, Solanaceae.